GGUCACCCUGAGUUCCUCCUAGCUUCUUCAGUACCCGUGGAAAGCUAAUGCUACAAUUAUCUUGAGCUGGUAAGACUGGCAGGUGUCAGAUGUGGAUGUGUUAAAGGUAAUAUUAUUGAUUAUUUACGGCGCCAUUCAAGUAUUUGUUCUACUGUUAGAGGAUUUAAUCAAGUAUAUGUGGUAUUACUCCUGAUUUGCUGAAGGGUUUGGAGGAACUCUAGGUGCU
Molecule: microRNA precursor, 226 nt
Filed under: Populus trichocarpa (black cottonwood)
Lineage: Eukaryota; Viridiplantae; Streptophyta; Magnoliopsida; Malpighiales; Salicaceae
Description: miR395a stem-loop (ptc-MIR395a)
Gene: ptc-MIR395a
Source: miRBase by way of RNAcentral